UGUCAUUGCACAAGGUUUGGUAGUAACAGAGAGUUUGAUUCUGGCUCAGAUUGAACGCUGCGGAUGCUUUACACAUGCAAGUCGAACGGCAGCACGGACUUCGGUCUGGUAUGAGUGGCGAACGGUGAGUAAUGUAUCGGAACGUGCCUAGUAGCGGGGGAUACGCGAAAGCGUAGCUAAUAUCGUUACUACGCCCUUCGGGGGAAAGCGGGGACCUUCGGGCCUCGCACUAUUAGAGCGGCCGAUAUCGGAUUAGCUAGUUGGUGGGGUAACGGCUCAAGGCGACGAUCCGGGGCUGGUUUGAGAGGACGACCAGCCACACUGGGACUGAGACACGGCCUGGUGACUCCUACGAGGCAGCAGGGGGAAUUUGGACAAUGGGGGAAACCUGAUCCAGCCAUCCCGCGUGUGCGAUGAAGGCCUUCGGGUUGUAAAGCACUUUUGGCAGUGAAAGAAACGGCACGGAUAAUACCCCGUGCAACUGACGGUACCUGCAGAAUAAGCACCGGCUAACUACGUGCCAGCAGCCGCGGGUAAUACGUAGGGUGCAAGCGUUAAUCGGAAUUACUGGGCGUAAAGCGUGCGCAGGCGGUUCGGAAAGAAAGAUGUGAAAUCCCAGAGCUUAACUUUGGAACUGCAUUUUUAACUACCGAGCUAGAGUGUGUCAGAGGGAGGUGGAAUUCCGCGUAAAGAGUGAAUGCGUAGAUAUGCGGAGGAACACCGAUGGCGAAGGCAGCCUCCUGGGAUAACACUGACGCUCAUGCACGAAAGCGUGGGGAGCAAACAGGAUUAGAUACCCUGGUAGUCCACGCCCUAAACGAUGUCAACUAGCUGUUGGGGCCUUCGGGCCUUGGUAGCGCAGCUAACGCGUGAAGUUGACCGCCUGGGAGUACGGUCGCAAGAUUAAAACUCAAAGGAAUUGACGGGGACUCCGGCCAAGCGGUGGAUGAUGUGGAUUAAUUCGAUGUAACGCGAAAAACCUUACCUACCCUUGACAUGUCUGAAUGCCGAGAGAUUUGGCGUGCUCGCAAGAGAACCGGAACACAGGUGCUGCAUGGCUGUCGUCAGCUCGUGUCGUGAGAUGUUGGGUUAAGUCCCGCAACGAGCGCAACCCUUGUCAUUAGUUGCUACGAAAGGGCACUCUAAUGAGACUGCCGGUGACAAACCGGAGGAAGGUGGAUGACGUCAAGUCCUCAAGGGUCUUAUGGGUAGGGCUUCACACGUCAUACAAUGGUCGGGCCAGAGGGUCGCCAACCCGCGAGGGGGAGCCAAUCCCAGAAACCCGAUCGUAGUCCGGAUCGCAGUCUGCAACUCGACUGCGUGAAGUCGGAAUCGCUAGUAAUCGCGGAUCAGCAUGUCGCGGUGAAUACGUUCCCGGGUCUUGUACACACCGCCCGUCACACCAUGGGAGUGGGUUUUGCCAGAAGUAGUUAGCCUAACCGCAAGGGGGCGAUUACCACGGUAGGAUCUAUGACUGGGGUGAAGUCGUAACAAGGGG
RNAcentral lists this ribosomal RNA (1498 nucleotides) under uncultured Bordetella sp. RNAcentral's name for it is "partial 16S-23S ribosomal RNA intergenic spacer". It matches the Rfam family "Bacterial small subunit ribosomal RNA". The record is from RNAcentral. Lineage: Bacteria; Pseudomonadati; Pseudomonadota; Betaproteobacteria; Burkholderiales; Alcaligenaceae.